UACGGAGGGUGCGAGCGUUGUCCGGAAUCAUUGGGCGUAAAGGGCGCGUAGGUGGCGGGACAAGCGUGCGGUGAAAGCUCGGGGCUCAACCCCGCGUCGGCCGUGCGAACUGUUUUGCUUGAGCACUGUAGAGGCAGGCGGAAUUCCGGGUGUAGCGGUGGAAUGCGUAGAGAUCCGGAAGAACACCGGUGGCGAAGGCGGGACUCUGGGCCGAUACUGACGCUGAGGAGCGAAAGCGUGGGGAGCAAACAGG
Molecule: ribosomal RNA, 253 nt
Filed under: uncultured bacterium
Lineage: Bacteria
Description: partial 16S ribosomal RNA
Rfam family: Bacterial small subunit ribosomal RNA
Source: RNAcentral